RNAcentral lists this ribosomal RNA (254 nucleotides) under uncultured bacterium. RNAcentral's name for it is "partial 16S ribosomal RNA". It matches the Rfam family "Bacterial small subunit ribosomal RNA", at positions 524 to 776 of the family's 1533-position model. The record is from RNAcentral.
UACGUAGGGUGCAAGCGUUGUCCGGAAUUAUUGGGCGUAAAGGGCUCGUAGGCGGUCCAUCGCGUCGGGAGUGAAAAGCUGGGGCUUAACCCCAGUCCUGCUUCCGAUACGGGUGGACUAGAGGUAGGUAGGGGAGAACGGAAUUCCUGGUGUAGCGGGUGAAAUGCGCAGAUAUCAGGAGGAACACCGGUGGCGAAGGCGGUUCUCUGGGCCUUACCUGACGCUGAGGAGCGAAAGCGUGGGGAGCGAACAGG